AUUCCAGAGAACCAGCAAAAGCAUCGUCAACAUUUGACCUCAGCAUCAUCGUUGGACAUCAGGAAGACAAACAUGCAUCACCAGGAGCCCUUAAUAAUCCCAGUUGCCCCCCCCCCAUAGAAGCAUAGAUUUAGGUCUAAAGAGUCAUGGAGAUUUACUGGAUCCAUUCUGGCAACUGAAAAAUGUUGCAGUGGUCUCCAUNUUUUUACUUUUAAGGCCAAAAAAUGUGGCAGGGGUGACUUGGCCUUUAGAGAUUGAAAAUUAAGCACAGUUGGUAAUUUAACAGCACCCUGUGUUUUAUUCAUUCUGCGCCAUAGAAUUUAACUGCGUACUAAACUAAACUAAACUAAACGCAUGUGAUGCUGGAGAAUUUAAUCUGUAGGAAAUUGCAGUAAAAACAUCUUUAUGGUGUUUGAACUACUACAUUUUGGCUGGAUCGUAGAAUUCAACUAGUCCUGCUGCAAUUAAACUAAAUGCAUGAGAUGCUUGAUAGUUUAAUCUGUAUGAAAUUCUACUUCCCACCUUCAUGGUGCAAAGAUCUUAGUUCUGCUGGACCCUGGCUGCAGCUAAACAGUAUAAACUAGAUAAUUCCCCCCUAUCCUGGUAGAAAUUAAAAUGAUGCAAGAAUUCGCCGUGUUCAGUGAUGGAAGCAGCAAAGGAUGUGGAAGAAGCCUGUUCUCCAUCGAAGACUUCAGGAUUGUGAGAAGAAGAUCCGCAAGAGCAACAAGAGGCAAUAAAAUCAGAUCUACUGCAGAACUCCGUGAUGAAAACACAAAGUCUCCAGGCUUCAUAAACGGCUGGCUUUGAGGGCAUCCAGUCUCGGUCAAUGCCUACUCCAGCCGUUCCAGAUGGACAAGGAGAACUGUGAAGGCAAAGGAAACUGUCUUUGCAGCUGCGUCCUGCAUNCCUGAUUCUCAAACACAAUGCCAUGGAUUUAACUCAUGACACCUUUAUUCCAAGAGCCUGAAAUGCUUCAAAACAGAACACCUGUAUUUGCCAGUCAGAGGGACAGAAAGUUAUUUAGAGUCUAAGCAACUAAGAGCUUGUGUGAAACUUGUUUUAUGUAUGGUGUAUAUUUUUAAAAAACAUGAAUCUACUUUUUCAUUACCUUUUGUAAGUCUUAAAGAAAUUAAAUUAUCAGGCAAUUAUAACCAUUCAGUGAAUACUGUCCACAGGAAAAGCUGCGGGGGGGGGGGGGACAGAGUGAUUUCAGUUGGGUGGUUUUCCAGAAAUGUGUGCAAUAAAUCAGAAAGUUAAGAGUUCCCUGACUUUUGU
RNAcentral lists this long non-coding RNA (1275 nucleotides) under Salvator merianae (Argentine black and white tegu). Its description in RNAcentral is "lncRNA (ENSSMRG00000022677.1)". Lineage: Eukaryota; Metazoa; Chordata; Lepidosauria; Squamata; Teiidae. The record is from RNAcentral.